This 1200-nucleotide non-coding RNA is filed under the name Taenia asiatica. Its description in RNAcentral is "Eukaryotic small subunit ribosomal RNA". It matches the Rfam family "Eukaryotic small subunit ribosomal RNA", at positions 1 to 1013 of the family's 1831-position model. Lineage: Eukaryota; Metazoa; Platyhelminthes; Cestoda; Cyclophyllidea; Taeniidae. The record is from Rfam by way of RNAcentral.
UACCUGACUGCUCCUGCCCAUAAUCAUGCAUGCGUCUCAAAGAUUAAACCAAACAGCUCUCUCUCCUCAGACCUAUGUGCUGUAAGGCUGCGGAUAGCCUAUUAAUUCAUCUCAAAUUGAUUGGAAAGUGCCAUUGAGUUUAAGACUGUGGUAGCUCUAGAGCCAAUACAUGCCUCGCUUCUCUGGCCCUGCCUGCUUGCUUGUAAUGUAGGGGAUUGAUGGAUACAAUUAUUAGAUCAGGAGCCAUCCGACAGUGCGUAUGCGGCCGUGAGGUCGUAGCAAACGCAGAGAUAUUUCUAGUGAUCCUGAGCAAUUGUUACAGAUUGCAGCUCGUAUUUAGAAGUCGGCGAUGGAUGCUUCCUUCAUUUGUCUACCUUAUCAAACACUAACGGUGGCAGGUAAAAUACCUACCUUGAUGCUAACGGCAAGGAAUGACAGGGAAUAAGAGUUUGAUUCCGUUCAAAAGAGGGGCUGAGAAACGGCAGCAGGACUGUAGCUCAUUCACCCUCGUUCGAGGAGAUGAGGUCGUGACUAAAAAUACAGACGCGAGACUCUCUAAGGCAAAAAGGCGUCCUUGGUACUUAGAACGAGUGGAAUGUAAAACCUUUUAUUAAGACGAAUUAAGGAGCAAGGCUAGUGAAAGCAGCCACCGAAACUGCAACUACAAUAGUGUAUGCUAAGAAUGCUGCAGAUCUAAAGCUUGCUGAUAGAUUUUGGCGACACUGUCGCCUGUUGAUAAACAAGCUGUAGGUGUGUGGCUGUCGGCGCAUAGUCUUAACGGCUAUGAGGUGGUGUAAGUCACUCUAACAAAUGCUGCUGUAUUAAGUUGUUAAGUAUUGGUGUCAUCUUAAAAUUAUGUCAGUGAUGCGAUGGCCGUAGGUACGGGAGAAUGUUGAACAUUGCUCUGCAUACUUUGCAAACGCAGCCUGUCCGUAGUCAUUUGUGUGCUUUUAUACAGAUGCCCUCACAGAAUGGGUGGUAUCUUUGAAUGAAUUUGCAUGCUCAAAUUAAAUAAAUACUGCCAAAAUAUUUAUAUGGAAUGAUGGUGUGGGAUGGUGAUUUCGAUUAGCUCCAUUUUGCUAAGAGACAUUUGUAUAGCUACACUACAAAUGAAAAUCACGAACCGUUGUUAGCCGAAAUAAAACAAAAGCAUGAUUUCGAUGGCCAUCAGCAAACCUCAGAGGCUCCGCACGAGCAAUG